Molecule: ribosomal RNA, 1198 nt
Filed under: Shigella flexneri
Lineage: Bacteria; Pseudomonadati; Pseudomonadota; Gammaproteobacteria; Enterobacterales; Enterobacteriaceae
Description: bacterial SSU rRNA
Rfam family: Bacterial small subunit ribosomal RNA
Source: RNAcentral
ACGGUAGCUAAUACCGCAUAAUGUCGCAAGACCAAAGAGGGGGACCUUCGGGCCUCUUGCCAUCGGAUGUGCCCAGAUGGGAUUAGCUUGUUGGUGGGGUAACGGCUCACCAAGGCGACGAUCCCUAGCUGGUCUGAGAGGAUGACCAGCCACACUGGAACUGAGACACGGUCCAGACUCCUACGGGAGGCAGCAGUGGGGAAUAUUGCACAAUGGGCGCAAGCCUGAUGCAGCCAUGCCGCGUGUAUGAAGAAGGCCUUCGGGUUGUAAAGUACUUUCAGCGGGGAGGAAGGGAGUAAAGUUAAUACCUUUGCUCAUUGACGUUACCCGCAGAAGAAGCACCGGCUAACUCCGUGCCAGCAGCCGCGGUAAUACGGAGGGUGCAAGCGUUAAUCGGAAUUACUGGGCGUAAAGCGCACGCAGGCGGUUUGUUAAGUCAGAUGUGAAAUCCCCGGGCUCAACCUGGGAACUGCAUCUGAUACUGGCAAGCUUGAGUCUCGUAGAGGGGGGUAGAAUUCCAGGUGUAGCGGUGAAAUGCGUAGAGAUCUGGAGGAAUACCGGUGGCGAAGGCGGCCCCCUGGACGAAGACUGACGCUCAGGUGCGAAAGCGUGGGGAGCAAACAGGAUUAGAUACCCUGGUAGUCCACGCCGUAAACGAUGUCGACUUGGAGGUUGUGCCCUUGAGGCGUGGCUUCCGGAGCUAACGCGUUAAGUCGACCGCCUGGGGAGUACGGCCGCAAGGUUAAAACUCAAAUGAAUUGACGGGGGCCCGCACAAGCGGUGGAGCAUGUGGUUUAAUUCGAUGCAACGCGAAGAACCUUACCUGGUCUUGACAUCCACGGAAGUUUUCAGAGAUGAGAAUGUGCCUUCGGGAACCGUGAGACAGGUGCUGCAUGGCUGUCGUCAGCUCGUGUUGUGAAAUGUUGGGUUAAGUCCCGCAACGAGCGCAACCCUUAUCCUUUGUUGCCAGCGGUCCGGCCGGGAACUCAAAGGAGACUGCCAGUGAUAAACUGGAGGAAGGUGGGGACGACGUCAAGUCAUCAUGGCCCUUACGACCAGGGCUACACACGUGCUACAAUGGCGCAUACAAAGAGAAGCGACCUCGCGAGAGCAAGCGGACCUCAUAAAGUGCGUCGUAGUCCGGAUUGGAGUCUGCAACUCGACUCCAUGAAGUCGGAAUCGCUAGUAAUCGUGGAUC